UGAGGAAUAUUGGUCAAUGGGCGAGAGCCUGAACCAGCCAAGUAGCGUGCAGGAUGACGGCCCUAUGGGUUGUAAACUGCUUUUACGCGGGGAUAAAGUGCGUGACGUGUCGCGCAUCGCAGGUACCGCGUGAAUAAGGACCGGCUAAUUCCGUGCCAGCAGCCGCGGUAAUACGGAAGGUCCGGGCGUUAUCCGGAUUUAUUGGGUUUAAAGGGAGUGUAGGCGGCCUGUUAAGCGUGUUGUGAAAUGUAGAUGCUCAACAUCUGAACUGCAGCGCGAACUGGCUGGCUUGAGUACACGCAACGUGGGCGGAAUUCAUGGUGUAGCGGUGAAAUGCUUAGAUAUCAUGAGGAACUCCUAUUGCGAAGGCAGCUCACGGGAGUGUCACUGACGCUUAAGCUCGAAGGUGCGGGUAUCAAACAGG
This 424-nucleotide ribosomal RNA is filed under the name Verrucomicrobiota bacterium. Its description in RNAcentral is "Verrucomicrobia bacterium partial 16S ribosomal RNA". It matches the Rfam family "Bacterial small subunit ribosomal RNA", at positions 355 to 776 of the family's 1533-position model. Lineage: Bacteria; Pseudomonadati; Verrucomicrobiota. The record is from RNAcentral.